This is a long non-coding RNA of Neltuma alba, 462 nucleotides long. RefSeq lists it as uncharacterized. NCBI's taxonomy places the organism in Eukaryota, Viridiplantae, Streptophyta, Magnoliopsida, Fabales, Fabaceae. The transcript has 3 exons. The record is from RefSeq and is a predicted model, not a curated record.
UUCAAACAAAAAGUGACACAAAAAUUGUGCAUGAACUAUAUGUUCUGUCUUUGAUUGCUUAUAUGGACUCAAUUUAGAGAAGAUAGACUCAAAUUCUUACUUCUCCCUCUCUUUCCUUCUCCUAUAUGCCCUUAUGGUUCCAGCAUGCAAUUUGGAAUUGAAGGCUACGGCAGUUACAGUGACAAAACGAUCUUGAUAGUAACCUCAACCUGUCGUGUUCAUCAUUUAAUUCCACUGAUCAAUAUGGUUAAUGAAGCGUGAGACCAAUUAUAUAUAGCGUUUCUGCAAAAUAUAUGGCGUUCUCUUGUCAAUCUUUAUUUUUCCCCUCAAACAAUUUAGAUGGCUUAUUUCACUACCGACACAGAUUUGUAGAGAUCUAGUUAGAGUGAACAAGACAAAAAAGAAGAGAGAGAGAGAGUGAUUCACUUAAACAGUCCAACUUUGGGUACAGAGGGUAAUAGA